CCAGAUCGUCAGCUAAGGUCCCUAAAUGUAAGUUAAGUGGUAAAGGAUGUGGGAUUGCACAGACAACCAGGAUGUUGGCUUAGAAGCAGCCACUCAUUCAAAGAGUGCGUAAUAGCUCACUGGUCGAGUGAUCCUGCGCCGAAGAUUUCCGGGGCUAAAACUUACUACCGAAGCUACGGCAUCAGUAAUGAUGGGUAGGGGAGCUUCCCAUACGGGUUGAAGCAUGACCGUAAGGACAUGUGGACAGUAUGGGAGUGAGAAUGUUGGCAUGAGUAGCGAGAUGUGGGUGAGAAUCCCACAGGCCGUAAACCCAAGGUUUCCAGGG
This 325-nucleotide ribosomal RNA is filed under the name Clostridioides difficile. RNAcentral describes it as "bacterial LSU rRNA". It matches the Rfam family "Bacterial large subunit ribosomal RNA", at positions 1027 to 1359 of the family's 2925-position model. Lineage: Bacteria; Bacillati; Bacillota; Clostridia; Peptostreptococcales; Peptostreptococcaceae. The record is from RNAcentral.